UUGGAUUCUUGGGACAGAUUCCCAGAAACUUAAGUUUAUCUGACUUGACAGCUGAUUUCUCUAAUAGUACUGGUUAGUUCUCUCUCUCUCUCUCUCCCUCUCUCUCUACACUCUGAUGCGCAUGCACUGGAUGUGUGUGUAAAUUCAAUGGCUUGACAGUCUUAAGUAUGUUGCCUAAGCUUAAUAAAAGUAGUACAUUUAAAGUAAAGACUUUUGAAAAAGUUAGUUUUUGAACUAAAAAUAUCAGGAAAAAAAGUUCCUUCUAGAAGAGCUUAAACAUAUUUGGCAAAUAAAAAGGUUACUUAAAGAGUGACUUUUAAGCUUACCAAACAUGUUACUGUGAAUCUAGGGAACUCCUUGGUUCUUAUGCACGGGUAUUUUAUUUUUCAUAUUUAUGAUUUGUAUGAUUUACCCUUUUCAGAUAUUUUAGAGAGCUAUUCUAGAUCUCCAUUUCUUGGAACCGAUACAAUCUUCAUGGAUCCUAGUGUUCUGGGGGAAUAUCAAGAUAUUGAGAGGCUGAACACAAUAUCAGAGGGCUUGAAUUAUGAAGAUUUUGGCAGCGAUUGAAGAAUUUAAAGGUAUCCAGGGUCGCCAAUUGCUCGGUAUGCAGAAACUUUUUUGAACAGGUUCUGGAUUUUAAAACUAUUUGAAGGUAUUGGCAUGUGUCGAGGUAACUAUUUAGACGCAAUGAACAGAAACCAUCGUGUCUUGGAUCAGUUUAGGUAGAAACAUGGCAUGCAAAGGCUUGUUCUUGGAGACUGGGUGUUCUUAUUGAUUUCUUUAUAUGAUAGCUUCGUCUAGAAGCCUAACAGUGUUUCCUUGUAUUUGUAUUGGUGUUGAUUGAUGGAGUAAAAGAGAAUUUUAUGUUUCUGGAUUGGGAUCAACCCCUGCGUUUGAUCUGACAGUUUUGUAAUUUGAUAUAUAAAUAAAAAUAAGCAACUUUUUUAUUGAUCAAA
Olea europaea var. sylvestris is the source of this 956-nucleotide long non-coding RNA. RefSeq lists it as uncharacterized. The transcript has 3 exons. The record is from RefSeq and is a predicted model, not a curated record. Lineage: Eukaryota; Viridiplantae; Streptophyta; Magnoliopsida; Lamiales; Oleaceae.